This 438-nucleotide ribosomal RNA is filed under the name uncultured bacterium. Its description in RNAcentral is "bacterial SSU rRNA". It matches the Rfam family "Bacterial small subunit ribosomal RNA", at positions 29 to 514 of the family's 1533-position model. The record is from RNAcentral.
AACGAACGCUGGCGGCAGGCCUAACACAUGCAAGUCGAGCGCCCCGCAAGGGGAGCGGCGGACGGGUGAGUAACGCGUGGGAACGUACCCUUUGCUACGGAAUAGCCUCGGGAAACUGGGAGUAAUACCGUAUGUGCCCUUCGGGGGAAAGAUUUAUCGGCAAAGGAUCGGCCCGCGUUGGAUUAGGUAGUUGGUGGGGUAAUGGCCUACCAAGCCGACGAUCCAUAGCUGGUUUGAGAGGAUGAUCAGCCACACUGGGACUGAGACACGGCCCAGACUCCUACGGGAGGCAGCAGUGGGGAAUCUUAGACAAUGGGCGCAAGCCUGAUCUAGCCAUGCCGCGUGAGCGAUGAAGGCCUUAGGGUUGUAAAGCUCUUUCAGUGGGGAAGAUAAUGACUGUACCCACAGAAGAAGUCCCGGCUAACUCCGUGCCAGCAG